CCAUUGACUCCGUUUGACAUCCACUGUGGAAGCAAUUCUUAUUUAGUAAGAGUAAUGAAUACACAAUCCAGAGCCGUUUCUCAGGAUAAGUAAAAGCCAAAUGCCCACUUGGUACCAGUGGGAAGGAGUUUCAGCAUUUUGUCCCAAAAUGAGAACAGAGUUUAGAAUCCCUAAAAUAUCAGAAAAAAGAUAUUACUAACAGACCAGGAAACAGACUGAAGAGCGCGUUGUCCUGUUAUGUAAAAAAGGACGCAGUGGACUGAAAUAUCAAAGGUUGGCAAAGACAUUUUUUACCUUAAGCUAUUCCAAAUGAACAGAUUACUUCUGUGUGGCUUUGAAGGUUUGAGUAAUACGCCAA
This is a long non-coding RNA of Erpetoichthys calabaricus (reedfish), 358 nucleotides long. RefSeq lists it as uncharacterized. Lineage: Eukaryota; Metazoa; Chordata; Cladistia; Polypteriformes; Polypteridae. The transcript is spliced from 2 exons. The record is from RefSeq and is a predicted model, not a curated record.